This 467-nucleotide ribosomal RNA is filed under the name uncultured bacterium. RNAcentral's name for it is "partial 16S ribosomal RNA". It matches the Rfam family "Bacterial small subunit ribosomal RNA", at positions 28 to 507 of the family's 1533-position model. The record is from RNAcentral.
GACGAACGCUGGCGGCGUGCUUAACACAUGCAAGUCGAACGGAAAGGCCCUGCUUUUGUGGGGUGCUCGAGUGGCGAACGGGUGAGUAACACGUAGUAACCUGCCCUUGACUUUGGGAUAACUUCAGGAAACUGGGGCUAAUACCGGAUAGGAGCUCCUGCUGCAUGGUGGGGGUUGGAAAGUUUCGGCGGUUGGGGAUGGACUCGCGGCUUAUCAGCUUGUUGGUGGGGUAGUGGCUUACCAAGGCUUUGACGGGUAGCCGGCCUGAGAGGGUGACCGGCCACAUUGGGACUGAGAUACGGCCCAGACUCCUACGGGAGGCAGCAGUGGGGAAUAUUGCACAAUGGGCGGAAGCCUGAUGCAGCAACGCCGCGUGCGGGAUGACGGCCUUCGGGUUGUAAACCGCUUUCGCCUGUGACGAAGCGUGAGUGACGGUAAUGGGUAAAGAAGCACCGGCUAACUACGUG